Molecule: long non-coding RNA, 1451 nt
Organism: Solenopsis invicta (red fire ant)
Lineage: Eukaryota; Metazoa; Arthropoda; Insecta; Hymenoptera; Formicidae
Exons: 3
Source: RefSeq, a predicted model, not a curated record
GCACUUUGUUUUAAAAAAUAAACUAUAAAAUACAAUUUUUAUAACUUUUUUAUUCAAAAUUAAAAAGUAAAAUAUUUUAGGUUUUGGAUUAAUACUAACUUCCCGAGGGUAAUAGGAGCUAUAGAUGGGACACGUGUGGCAAUAUGGCCACCAGAAAGAAACAGAGAACAUCUUUACAUUAAAGCGAUGCUGCAGAUACCGACUGAACACUAUUAUUUUUAACUUCAGUAAAUUUUUUAUUGAAUGCACAGAAUGAUAAAUCCUUCUCUACAAUUAAAGUAUUGACAAAAACAUAAUACGCUGGCUACAAUUUGACACGAAAAACGGAAAAAAGUUGCAAAACUAUGUGCUUCUGUAGUAGUCUCGUGACAAUAUAUAUUGCGUAUAAAAGUUCUAGACUUUGUACCUACAAAAUAACUAUCCAGCGUACUGUGAAUUACACGUAAGAUUGUUAGUGUGCUUUCAAAACGAUCCUAGAAGCUUUAGUAUAAAAGAUAUUUCCAAUCAAAAAUAUCGUGUUCAUGUGUGCGUGCAGAAUCGAUGUGAGAAUCGGUGAAGAGUGAGACUGAGUGAGACAGAGCACUAGUUUAGUUUCUCGAUGUUGCAUUAGAGGCGCUAAAGUCAAAAGAACAAGGAAAGAUGAGUGCGUUUGAUAAAGAGCGCUAGACUAUUCCCCUUACUCUUUGCCUCGCGCGCGACCCAUAGUUCGUAGAAGAAAAAUCUGCAGCAAUCUGAAGUACCGACGUCGAGUGAGUUUCACCGUCAGUCCAGUAUCGCCUUAAUAGAAAAUUAUUUCAUUCCCUAAAUGUUAUGAUAGUAAGUAUUUAUUAUUCCACAAUAAAUAUAUUAAUAUAAUUAAACAAAUGUAAUUAACACAAAAGUUAAAUCCCGUAAUUAAUAAUUUUAUAUAGACUUAUAUACAUAUAUAUUUUUUUUUUGUUUUUAGGUCAGUGGAAUAUUGGAAUAAUAUUAGCAGUUUUGGCAAGUCACGGUACUCAUGAUUCCAGAGUUUGGAAUUUCUCUCGAUUAGCCAGAUAUAUGUUAAACAAAUAUCAGAAUAGUAGAAGAAAUGUAUGGUUAUUAGGUGAUGCAGGAUAUCCUUUAUUACCAUAUUUAAUGACACCCAAAUUAAACCAACCACCAGGAUCUCCAAGUGCAGCAUAUACAGAUGCUCAUAUUAAAACACGAUGCUAAGUCGAAAGAACAAGGUAUAUUGAAAGGUCGAUGGAGAUGUUUACGCAAAGAAAGGGCUUUGCACUAUGUACCUGAAUUUGCAGCAUUGAUCGUAAACGCAACUUGUGUUCUACAUAAUAUUGCAAAACGUUUUAAUAUUCUGAAUGGCGAUGUAUACAGAGAUGAAAAUAUUGAAGAAAAAUUAGGAUCAAUUUUUGACGAAAAUUUACGUGCAAGAGGAAAUGAAGUGCGAGAAAAAAUAAUAUUACAAUAUUUUA